This 253-nucleotide ribosomal RNA is filed under the name uncultured bacterium. Its description in RNAcentral is "partial 16S ribosomal RNA". It matches the Rfam family "Bacterial small subunit ribosomal RNA", at positions 524 to 776 of the family's 1533-position model. The record is from RNAcentral.
UACGUAGGGGGCGAGCGUUGUCCGGAUUUAUUGGGCGUAAAGAGCGUGUAGGCGGCCAGGUAGGUCUGCUGUGAAAACUCGAGGCUCAACCUCGAGACGUCGGCGGAAACCAUCUGGCUAGAGUCCGGAAGAGGAGAGUGGAAUUCCUGGUGUAGAGGUGAAAUGCGCAGAUAUCAGGAAGAACACCCGUGGCGAAGGCGGCUCUCUGGGACGUGACUGACGCUGAGACGCGAAAGCGUGGGGAGCGAACAGG